AGAGCUCGUAGGCGGUUUGUCGCGUCUGCCGUGAAAGUCCGGGGCUCAACUCCGGAUCUGCGGUGGGUACGGGCAGACUAGAGUGAUGUAGGGGAGACUGGAAUUCCUGGUGUAGCGGUGAAAUGCGCAGAUAUCAGGAGGAACACCGAUGGCGAAGGCAGGUCUCUGGGCAUUAACUGACGCUGAGGAGCGAAAGCAUGGGGAGCGAACAGGAUUAGAUACCCUGGUAGUCCAUGCCGUAAACGUUGGGCACUAGGUGUGGGGGACAUUCCACGUUUUCCGCGCCGUAGCUAACGCAUUAAGUGCCCCGCCUGGGGAGUACGGCCGCAAGGCUAAAACUCAAAGGAAUUGACGGGGGCCCGCACAAGCGGCGGAGCAUGCGGAUUAAUUCGAUGCAACGCGAAGAACCUUACCAAGGCUUGACAUGGACUGGAAAUACCUGGAAACAGGUGCCCCGCUUGCGGUCGGUUCACAGGUGGUGCAUGGUUGUCGUCAGCUCGUGUCGUGAGAUGUUGGGUUAAGUCCCGCAACGAGCGCAACCCUCGUUCUAUGUUGCCAGCGCGUGAUGGCGGGGACUCAUAGGAGACUGCCGGGGUCAACUCGGAGGAAGGUGGGGACGACGUCAAAUCAUCAUGCCCCUUAUGUCUUGGGCUUCACGCAUGCUACAAUGGCCGGUACAAAGGGUUGCGAUACUGUGAGGUGGAGCUAAUCCCAAAAAGCCGGUCUCAGUUCGGAUUGGGGUCUGCAACUCGACCCCAUGAAGUCGGAGUCGCUAGUAAUCGCAGAUCAGCAACGCUGCGGUGAAUACGUUCCCGGGCCUUGUACACACCGCCCGUCAAGUCACGAAAGUUGGUAACACCCGAAGCCGGUGGCUAACCCCCUUGUGGGGAGGGAGCUGUCGAAGUGGGACUGGCGAUUGGGACGAAGUCGUACAGGGUAA
RNAcentral lists this ribosomal RNA (940 nucleotides) under Arthrobacter sp. RNAcentral describes it as "bacterial SSU rRNA". It matches the Rfam family "Bacterial small subunit ribosomal RNA", at positions 564 to 1499 of the family's 1533-position model. Lineage: Bacteria; Bacillati; Actinomycetota; Actinomycetes; Micrococcales; Micrococcaceae. The record is from RNAcentral.